RNAcentral lists this long non-coding RNA (333 nucleotides) under Carica papaya (papaya). Its description in RNAcentral is "long non-coding RNA (CPAP_LNC006675)". The record is from RNAcentral. Lineage: Eukaryota; Viridiplantae; Streptophyta; Magnoliopsida; Brassicales; Caricaceae.
AUGUAAUACUGUAGUUUUAGAGCAUUAUUAAGACCUAAUACAUGCUCAAAACCUCAUAGUUGUCUUAAGAUAGGUUUAGAUCACGAGAACAAUUUUAAAACCCUACACAACCUUUUGGCCAAGCUAUCAUGUAACCUCAUAGGUACUCAAAAUAACUCAAGAAGCAAAGAGUUUCCUUAUCCUCAACUAUCCUUGAACUUUAGCAUUUUUUAUCCCAAAUUAGGUAAGCAGUGCUGAAGCACUACACAAGGACCCAUGAGUUUCCCAACUUUGUGUUAAUUUAAAGGAGUGCGCUUGCACUUGCGAGGGGUGGUGCUUGUUUCCAACUGCAUC